AAUUAGCGCAUGUUGUUUAAAACCUCAUUAAUCAGUUAGAAAAUUCUAAAAUCUAUUUUCAAACACGAAAUAGCGAUGACUAUUGUAAUAUGCAAUUUAAGUGAUUUUAUUUGCUAAUGUAAUGAAAAUAUUUAAAUAAAUACCAUUUCUCAAAACCGGAUGUAGCGGAAUGCUCCGUUAGAUCUGCUGCAUUGAUUUUCCCGCCGAGUGGGUUUGAUUCUUGAUAUAUAAACUACCUAUGAGAAUGUUGCCAUACUAAUCUGUGCUUGCAUUGAAACAAACCACCUAACCAUAAAGGUAAGAG
RNAcentral lists this long non-coding RNA (304 nucleotides) under Mytilus galloprovincialis (Mediterranean mussel). Lineage: Eukaryota; Metazoa; Mollusca; Bivalvia; Mytilida; Mytilidae. The record is from RNAcentral.